UACAGAGGGUGCAAGCGUUGUCCGGAAUCACUGGGCGUAAAGGGUGCGCAGGCGGUCGUGUGUGUCAGAUGUGAAAUCCCGGAGCUUAACUCCGGAACUGCGUCUGAAACUACACGACUAGAGCAUUGGAGAGGGAAGUGGAAUUCAUGGUGUAGCAGUGAAAUGCGUAGAUAUCAUGAGGAACACCAGAGGCGAAGGCGACUUCCUGGACAAUUGCUGACGCUCAGGCACGAAAGCAUGGGGAGCAAAAGGG
This 253-nucleotide ribosomal RNA is filed under the name uncultured bacterium. RNAcentral describes it as "partial 16S ribosomal RNA". It matches the Rfam family "Bacterial small subunit ribosomal RNA", at positions 524 to 776 of the family's 1533-position model. The record is from RNAcentral.